Molecule: ribosomal RNA, 393 nt
Filed under: uncultured bacterium
Lineage: Bacteria
Description: bacterial SSU rRNA
Rfam family: Bacterial small subunit ribosomal RNA
Source: RNAcentral
GACGAACGCUGGCGGCGCGCUUAACACAUGCAAGUCGAACGGGGUCCUUCCUUCGGGGAGGGUUCAGUGGCGAACGGGUGCGUAACACGUGAGCAACCUGCCGGGUGGUGGGGGAUAACCCAUGGAAACGUGGGCUAAUACCGCAUGAGUUCAGCCUUUCGAGUGAAGGGUUGAGGAAAGGUGCUGCAAGGCACUGCCAUCUGAGGGGCUCGCGGCGUAUCAGCUAGUUGGUGGGGAACGCUCACCAAGGCAGCGACGCGUAGCCGAUCUGAGAGGAUGAUCGGCCACAUUGGGACUGAGAUACGGCCCAGACUCCUACGGGAGGCAGCAGUGGGGAAUCUUGCGCAAUGGGCGAAAGCCUGACGCAGCGACGCCGCGUGCGGGAGGAAGCUC